Sorghum bicolor (sorghum) is the source of this 2638-nucleotide long non-coding RNA. RefSeq lists it as uncharacterized. Lineage: Eukaryota; Viridiplantae; Streptophyta; Magnoliopsida; Poales; Poaceae. The transcript has 3 exons. The record is from RefSeq and is a predicted model, not a curated record.
UAUCCACCCAACACUCCAACGUACGGACCGACCAGCUGCUGAGCUUUGAGCACCGGACUUAGCUUCCAGGUGGGAGGCACAUCUGGAGACCAACAUGUGAAGUUCGCUCUGGAGGCACAUUCGGCCCCCGUGGAGCCCGGGGUUGUGGCAGCGGAGGGGCUGCGCGAAGCGAGGCAACACGCGGUGUCCGGUGGUGGGGGCGGUGAGGGAAGCGAGGCGGGAACGCGGGGGGUCGGCGGACGCCUCUGCUGACUCAGUCGGCGGGAGUGGGAGGUGUGCGGCGCAGGUGAGCUGACUGUCCGGGCACCCAACGGUCGGCACCACGGCGGCCGCGGCGGAGGCCAACGCUGGGAUCUGCCGUCGGGGAAGUUCAUGGCGUGGUUGGACCCCGUGAACUUGCCGUCGGGGAAAUCCAGAUGCUGCGGUUUAUGUGGCGAGCCUCUGCAGUUCGUUCUGCGGGUGAUUUCUUUGUGUGCAAUGAAGUUGUGACACUCGAUUGCUUAUUGUUUGGAUGUCGACUUGGUCACAAUUGGGCUUGGUUUGGAUGUCGAUUGCUUAUUGUUUGUGAUGUAAAGCCGCGCGCGGGUGGGUACAGCGAGUUAACUUUCAUUUCAAACCGAAUCGAAGAUCGGAAGAUGGCCGUGAGUCCGUGACCUUUUCGACAGCUUGCGUUGCGUUGCUUUGCGUGCGCCAGCCAUAAGCAGAAUCAAAGGCACCACCACCGCUGUGAGCGGUCCUUUUUUAUUGUUUUCUUGCUCCUUUUCAUGGCGCCGACCCAUCUGUCUGACGCCGCGGCCUUGAUUUGUUUCAAUGGUUGGUUGUUGUUCAGAUUUACUUUUCCAUUCGUGUUCUCGUGGGAAUCGCUAAGAUCAAUAAACAGAGUAUUUGCCAGCUUGAUUGCGCAAUUAGUUGAUUUGGGGUACAAAAGAGUGUUUACUAUUGUUUAAUUCAUAUUCAGGAUUACACAGAGCUAUACUUCAGUUGGAGGGUUUUCCCCUUUCCCCUCACGUUGGAGGGUUCCCAGCGACGAACGGACUUGAUUUCAUUCAACAAGAUGAAACCUGUUGCUAGUCUGAAGCACAGAAGCUUGUUAGCGUUUGUGGAUAUAAGGAGUCUGCUAGCCUGUUCAAGUAGUAUAUUUAACAUCAGGAGCACGACUGCCUUCCUGAAACUCAGCUUACAGAACAGGUGCACAUUUUAAUCAUUCAGAGAGAGACAACCAAUUCUGAAAGGAGUUUAGAAGAACCAGCGCGCCUCCAGAUAAUCUGAUUUCAUGGGCACAAGCAGUGACUGGCUGAAGUCCAAUUCCUAGGUGUUCUUGAGCAGCCAAAUCUGGUGAAGCUGAUUGGCUAUUGCGUUGUGGAUUCAGAAACAAGCAAGCACAGGGUGUUGGUUUAUGCGUUCAUGCCCAACAAGACUUUGGAUGAUCACCUGUUCAACCGAGCAUAUCAUCCCCUUUCAUGGAGACGGAUGCUGCAGACCACGAUCGGUGCCGCGCUGGGCCUGGAUUUCCACCAUGAAGGAGUACGAGAAGUUAAGUUUUAUUUCUGGACCAGAACUAUGCAUGAUCAGAAUCUCUGAAUUGUACCGCGCUAAAUACGCAUUGCAGUCACGACACGUUGAAUACAUUCUCUGAAACUUCAAAAUGAACAAAAAGCCGUGGACACAAACUUUCUUAGCUGAAUGUGCAUGCAAAAUUACCUGCAUUAUAUUUGUUGCAGUAAAUAUUAAAAUAGAGUGACAUCUCGUAUAAAUUGUUGCAGUAAUAUAUAUUUGUUGCAGUAAUAUAUAUUAAAAUAGAGUGACAUCUCGUAUCUCUACUAUAAUUCAUGUCAUGUAUGCGAUAUUUACCAAUAGUCAUAGGUUCUGUAUUUCUAGACGUGGUUGUUGUGCCGUUGCUAGUAUCGUUUGGUUGGAUAUUUUCCUUGUCCAAACAAAGUGCAGACUUCUGGGAUUCGGCAUUCUUCCUUUGUCGAUAUUGACGCGAGUACUCACGUUGUUUCCUUCUCAUCUCCUCCUUUCGUUCGUCGGACAUCUCGGCUCGACGAGCCCGUAGCCGCAAGUUCCGUUCUUCCCUCGUCCGUCGGACAUCAUCUAUAGAGAGAGAUAGGAAAUAAAUAGACACCCACAAAUACUAUACAUGUACCUUAUUUGGCAUCAUACCUGCGACGUUAGUGAUGUCACUUAGUGCACCGAGUGUAUCUCGGGCCGUCGACAUUGAGUAGGUGAGGAGGCAACACCUUUUGAUUUUUCAAAGGAUCGCGGUUGUCCACAAUAGAAUAAUCAGAAUGCACAAAUUUAGAGAGAAACAAAUAAUAACGCAGGCAUAAAUUCAGAGAGAUAAAUAAAAAUUAAUGCAGGUAGAGAGUCGAUGUUUUCGAAAUGUGUAAAUUUCAGUUGAAGCCAAGUAUUAUUUAUAAUAUAUAUUUUCUUUGCAGUAGUAGAAGUAUAAUAUAUAUUUUUUUUGCAGUAGUAGAAGAAGCACAUUGGAAUGCACAAGUGGACCUGGUUCUUCACGAGGCGUCCAGAGACGAAGGAGGUCGACGGUGAUGACGAAGCCGACGUGAUGCAGUCGAUGCCUUGAAAUCCCAAGCGCGGCGAUCGUUGGAGCCCUUUCUGCACUGUAUUAUCUUGUAUG